UACAGAGGGGGCAAGCGUUGUUCGGAAUUACUGGGCGUAAAGAGCGUGUAGGCGGUCCGAUAAGUCGGCUGUGAAAGUCAAGGGCUCAACCCUUGGAUGCCGGCCGAUACUGUCGGGCUAGAGUCCGGAAGAGGCGAGUGGAAUUCCUGGUGUAGCGGUGAAAUGCGUAGAUAUCUGGAGGAACACCGGUGGCGAAGGCGGCAUCCUGGACCAACACUGACGCUGAGGAGCGAAAGCCAGGGGAGCAAACGGG
Molecule: ribosomal RNA, 253 nt
Filed under: uncultured bacterium
Lineage: Bacteria
Description: partial 16S ribosomal RNA
Rfam family: Bacterial small subunit ribosomal RNA
Source: RNAcentral